GACGAACGCUGGCGGCGUGCUUAACACAUGCAAGUCGAACGGAAAGGCCCUGCUUUUGUGGGGUGCUCGAGUGGCGAACGGGUGAGUAACACGUGAGUAACCUGCCCUUGACUUUGGGAUAACUUCAGGAAACUGGGGCUAAUACCGGAUAGGAGCUCCUGCUGCAUGGUGGGGGUUGGAAAGUUUCGGCGGUUGGGGAUGGACUCGCGGCUUAUCAGCUUGUUGGUGGGGUAGUGGCUUACCAAGGCUUUGACGGGUAGCCGGCCUGGGAGGGUGACCGGCCACAUUGGGACUGAGAUACGGCCCAGACUCCUACGGGAGGCAGCAGUGGGGAAUAUUGCACAAUGGGCGGAAGCCUGAUGCAGCAACGCCGCGUGCGGGAUGACGGCCUUCGGGUUGUAAACCGCUUUCGCCUGUGACGAAGCGUGAGUGACGGUAAUGGGUAAAGAGGCACCGGCUAACUACGUG
RNAcentral lists this ribosomal RNA (468 nucleotides) under uncultured bacterium. RNAcentral's name for it is "partial 16S ribosomal RNA". It matches the Rfam family "Bacterial small subunit ribosomal RNA", at positions 28 to 507 of the family's 1533-position model. The record is from RNAcentral.